This is a long non-coding RNA of Manis javanica (Malayan pangolin), 401 nucleotides long. RefSeq lists it as uncharacterized. NCBI's taxonomy places the organism in Eukaryota, Metazoa, Chordata, Mammalia, Pholidota, Manidae. The record is from RefSeq and is a predicted model, not a curated record.
AAACACCACCUUUGGACACACAGCAGAGUCUCACAUGUAGGUGCUGGAAAGAUGAUACGGCUUGGUGUGUUUCACUUUGAAGGCUGCAAAACCUCUGCAAACCCAUCCCUGGAAUCCGGUGAUCCUGAUUCUGAAGAAGGUAAAAUUUUCUGAUGAGUUUUUUUAAUAGCUCGAGAAGUUUUAUUCAUGGACUUCCUCCAUUAUGACAUGGUCUCAUGGAUAACUACAUGGAAGCUGCUGGAAGGAGAGGCACAUUCUUCUUGCAGAUGAAAGCAUAGUUCAAGAAAUAAUCUUGUUCAACUUCUAAACACAUCUGCUCAUAAAAAAAAGUAAAAUAAAAAAUUAUUUAGAAAUGCAGUUGAAUUCACUUGAUGCAUCUAUGUAAAUCUAGGGAUGCUACU